This 345-nucleotide unclassified non-coding RNA is filed under the name soil metagenome. RNAcentral's name for it is "partial contains 5.8S ribosomal RNA, internal transcribed spacer 2, and large subunit ribosomal RNA". The stretch from base 1 to 120 matches the Rfam family "5.8S ribosomal RNA", at positions 35 to 154 of the family's 154-position model. The record is from RNAcentral.
GAUGAAGAACGCAGCGAAAUGCGAUACGUAAUGUGAAUUGCAGAAUUCAGUGAAUCAUCGAGUUUUUGAACGCACAUUGCGCCCCCUGGUAUUCCGGGGGGCAUGCCUGUCCGAGCGUCAUUGCUGCCCUCAAGCACGGCUUGUGUGUUGGGCCUCCGUCCUCCUCCCGGGGGACGGGCCCGAAAGGCAGCGGCGGCACCGCGUCCGGUCCUCGAGCGUAUGGGGCUUCGUCACCCGCUCUUGUAGGCCCGGCCGGCGCUUGCCGACACAUCAAUCUUUUUUCCAGGUUGACCUCGGAUCAGGUAGGGAUACCCGCUGAACUUAAGCAUAUCAAUAAGCGGAGGA